This 478-nucleotide ribosomal RNA is filed under the name uncultured bacterium. Its description in RNAcentral is "partial 16S ribosomal RNA". It matches the Rfam family "Bacterial small subunit ribosomal RNA", at positions 28 to 523 of the family's 1533-position model. The record is from RNAcentral.
GACGAACGCUGGCGGCGUGCUUAACACAUGCAAGUCGAACGGUAAGGCCCUUCGGGGUACACGAGUGGCGAACGGGUGAGUAACACGUGGGUGAUCUGCCCUGCACUUCAGGAUAAGCCUGGGAAACUGGGUCUAAUACCGGAUAGGACCCUGGGAUGCAUGUCCUGGGGUGGAAAGCUUUUGCGGUGUGGGAUGGGCCCGCGGCCUAUCAGCUUGUUGGUGGGGUGGUGGCCUACCAAGGCGACGGCGGGUAGCCGGCCUGAGAGGGUGACCGGCCACACUGGGACUGAGAUACGGCCCAGACUCCUACGGGAGGCAGCAGUGGGGAAUAUUGCACAAUGGGCGCAAGCCUGAUGCAGCGACGCCGCGUGAGGGAUGACGGCCUUCGGGUUGUAAACCUCUUUCAGCACCGACGAAGCGCAAGUGACGGUAGGUGCAGAAGAAGGACCGGCCAACUACGUGCCAGCAGCCGCCGUAA